CUGCAGAGAGCUGAGCAGCCACACUCCCACAGAUGACAACACAGGAGGCAAUCCAGUUUGAACAUUCGGGGCUUUGAGAACUACCCUGAGACCAGCAACGCAUCGUGCAAGUGGCGGAAUCACUAACAUUCUAAAUCGACAGAGCAGACCAAGGAUCAGCCAGCUAUUGGAUGAGACGGGAAAGGCUUUUUGUCACAACCAACUUGAGCUACAUCAGCUCAGCGUCCAUGAGGGGGAAGGCUCCUAAUUGGAUGGCCAAUACCAAAAGUCAUGCAGUCUCCCUACAGCAGGGGUGGGGAACCUCAGGCUCAGCGGACAGAUGUAGCCCCUAGCUUGCCUACAUCCGGCCACUGAGGCUCAGCUUUGGGGAGCCCACAUUGGCACUCCAGCCCCCCAUCACGCACCGGUGGGGCUGAGACAUACAAAAUCUACUAGCCAGGGCCCCCUAGCUGCUGGUGUGCAAGGAGAAUAUGGGGAGUUCCUUUUUCCUUCUAGUCAGGGGCUUCUCGCUGUACUUCUCACUUGUGUGUGGCCACCAACUGAUUUUUCUGUGGGCCGGGGGCCUUGACCCAAAGAAGGUUUCACACCCCUGCCCUAGAGAAACCAUCAGUAUUUAUAAUUUUCUUUGCGUUAGGGUAACAAAGUCACAGAUAAUGGUACAUGUAGCCCAAACUCUUUUCAGGCAGCUUCUUCCAAGAAACACAAUUUGUACUGCUCACAAGCUAUUAUUUGUGUUACAGUAGCACCCAGAGACCGCCAGAAAGAUCAUGUGAGGCACUCCAUGAUCUGUUACAGUGCAUUUGUACAGCUCCUAAAAUAACAGGGGAAUCUCGGUUAGGGCCUUUAGAUGUGAGUAACACAAAUAUUAAUUCUGAUCCCCAUUUUACAGACAGGGAGUUCAGGCACAGCAAUUAAGUUAUACUGGUAGUCUACGGCAGAGCUGAAUUACAUCUCAGAUCCGCUGCCUCCUCCAUCUUGUGUCUCUUUGCUACUUAGACCCCUUUGAUAUAUACCACACUUAAAACUAGGAAAACAGAGAAGCAAUGAAGAGGGUGGGGGGUGAAUCUUGCCUCACUCCCAAUCUGUACCAGCUGUGUUCCAAUGCACUGCAAUAGUUCAAGAGCAGAAUACCACACACACCUCGCAUGCACACCGUUUAACAAAUCCACUUAAGGCCCUUAAGACUUUCAAACAAACUCCUGCUGGAGUUUAGCAAAACAGUAGCUCAGCAGAGUCCAACGGCAUAACGUUGGUACAAUGUGCUUGAGAUCUAGGUCAGAGCCUGAACGCAAGUCCAGAAUGAAAGAACUAAUCAAGAAACAGCCAACGGAGCAAGAACUAAAUGCUGCUCUUGGUUCCAUUGGUGCCCACACUGAGUAACACCAUUGCCUUUAACAGGAUUACUCUGAAUUUACAGCACACCAGGUAAGCGAGGGUCAGACUCCAUCCUUUGACUGUACCCGGCAGUAGAUUCACAAAAGUCUGCUUAGAAACUCUGGCAGAAUUUUAAUGAUGAAAAAACAGUCAGUUUAAAGAGACACUCACAUGUUAACUGGGAAAGCUCUUGGGCCUACACUCAACUGGAGUGAAAAGCUUUUGUUUGAAUGCCAGCUGCUAAUUCAGCCCCUAAUUUCUAUCUCUUUUGUGUGUGUGUUGCUGAUACACAUAGUUCUAACACAAUUAAAAGAAAAAGGUAUUUUCACUUUAUUUUUUUCUUCUCAGACUGGAAAAGUUAAGAAUAGUUCUGAUGAGAAUGGUUUGCACAGGUUUGACACAUCUGAACCCUACUGGGGACAGGCAGAACAAACAAGAACAUUCAAGGCAAGACUGGCCAAGAAGAAAGUUCUGUUAAACGUCUGUUUGGAUACUUCCAGCCAUUGUACUCGUCUAACAGGAUUUCAUUCAUAAUUGAAUCACAAAUGGAAAUGGUCAAGGACUGAUGCACUUUCACUCACUUUGAACAUUUACUGACAGGUUAUCAAAAUGGACAAUUUUUCCACCUCUUGAGAAGCUCAGGGUAUCUGGAACAGCCAUGGCCUUGUCCAUCAUCUUUCUCCAUAAGGACUUUCACCUGUUAGUGACACAACAAAGGAAACAAGGACACAGGGAUGGAGUGACUUGCCCGAAGAAAGAAAGGAAGGUUGUGGCACAGCUGGAAAUACAAAACUCUGGUGACCAGUCCUUUGUCUUGGUGGUAAGAUUCUUUUGCCCCCCAGUGUGGCUUACAAAUUAAUGACAGAAACAUUAGCUAAGUGUAAGUCCACGUUAUUUCAGGGUAGGCUGGGAGAAGAGUUGAAGACAUAAUUAAGGCCGUUUUCCCUUAUGCAAUAUUUAUAAUAAUAUACAAAAAUAAAAUGACACUUGACAGGAAAAUAAACAUUUAAUGAAAGACUGCGAUGAAAAAUCCAUCUAUUUAAAAUACUGUUUAUUUGUGAUUUAACAUUAAUUAGCAUUACAUCUAUGAGCAAUUUCAGAUAACAUUUAUAUAAUUUUCCACAGGACACAGAGUUGGCUGGCUCAUUCUUUAUGCCAAAGCAAGUAAAUAGAGGCAUUAGCAAAAAGGUGCAAAUAGUUCACGUUUGCAUUUUAAAAAAUAUUUAUGCACAUUGCAUUCAUUAAGAUAUAUUUUUUAAAAAAGUUAUGAAAAGCAUAGUUCACAGGUUACUUUUUCUACAUAUGUUGUAAUACAACACAAAAAAUGUAGAACAUAAAAAAAAGAA
Pelodiscus sinensis (Chinese soft-shelled turtle) is the source of this 2720-nucleotide non-coding RNA. Lineage: Eukaryota; Metazoa; Chordata; Testudines; Trionychidae. The record is from RefSeq and is a predicted model, not a curated record.